UACGUAGGGGGCUAGCGUUGUCCGGAAUCAUUGGGCGUAAAGAGCGUGUAGGCGGCCCGGUAAGUCCGCUGUAAAAGUCAAAGGCUCAACCUUUGAAUGUCAGUGGAUACUGCCGGGCUAGAGUCCGGAAGAGGCGAGUGGAACUCCUGGUGUAGCGGUGGAAUGCGCAGAUAUCAGGAGGAACACCGGUGGCGAAGGCGGAUCUCUGGGCCUGUCCUGACGCUGAGGCGCGAAAGCUAGGGGAGCGAACAGG
This 253-nucleotide ribosomal RNA is filed under the name uncultured bacterium. RNAcentral describes it as "partial 16S ribosomal RNA". It matches the Rfam family "Bacterial small subunit ribosomal RNA", at positions 524 to 776 of the family's 1533-position model. The record is from RNAcentral.